UCCGCAGUGGUGUAAUGGUUAGCAUUUCUGCUUUUCAUAUAGAAAUACGCAGGAGACCAGGGUUCAAUUCCCUGUUGCGGAA
This 82-nucleotide transfer RNA is filed under the name Lachnellula hyalina. It matches the Rfam family "tRNA". Rfam says of the family: Transfer RNA (tRNA) molecules are approximately 80 nucleotides in length. Their secondary structure includes four short double-helical elements and three loops (D, anti-codon, and T loops). The record is from Rfam by way of RNAcentral. Lineage: Eukaryota; Fungi; Ascomycota; Leotiomycetes; Helotiales; Lachnaceae.